AGAGUUUGAUUAUGGCUCAGGAUGAACGCUAGCGGCAGGCUUAAUACAUGCAAGUCAAGGAGUCAGCAAUGGCACCGGCGGACGGGUGAGUAACGCGUACACAACGUACCUUUAACUGGGGGAUAGCAUUUGGAAACGAGUGGUAAUACCGCAUGUGGUUGUAGGGAGGCAUCUUUUUGCAACUAAAACUCAGGUGGUUAAAGAUCGGUGUGCGUCCGAUUAGCUAGUUGGUGUGGUAAUGGCUCACCAAGGCGACGAUCGGUAGGGGGCGUGAGAGCGUGCACCCCCACACGGGUACUGAGACACGGACCCGACUCCUACGGGAGGCAACAGUAAGGAAUAUUGGUCAAUGGAGGCAACUCUGAACCAGCCAUGCCGCGUGAAGGAAGAAGGCGCUAUGCGUUGUAAACUUCUUUUGGGUGGGAAGAAAAUGGUCAAUUUAUUGACAACUGACGGUACCAUCAGAAUAAGCACCGGCUAACUCCGUGCCAGCAGCCGCGGUAAUACGGAGGGUGCAAGCGUUAUCCGGAAUCACAGGGUUUAAAGGGUGCGUAGGUGGCUUUAUAAGUCAGCUGUGAAAUGUCUGGGCUUAACCGAGGCAUUGCGGUUGAUACUGUAGGGCUUGAAUCAAGUUG
This 635-nucleotide ribosomal RNA is filed under the name uncultured bacterium MK03. Its description in RNAcentral is "bacterial SSU rRNA". It matches the Rfam family "Bacterial small subunit ribosomal RNA", at positions 8 to 654 of the family's 1533-position model. Lineage: Bacteria; Pseudomonadati; Bacteroidota. The record is from RNAcentral.